This is a long non-coding RNA of Musca domestica (house fly), 4485 nucleotides long. RefSeq lists it as uncharacterized. The record is from RefSeq and is a predicted model, not a curated record. The transcript is spliced from 3 exons. NCBI's taxonomy places the organism in Eukaryota, Metazoa, Arthropoda, Insecta, Diptera, Muscidae.
AAAAUUCAAAACAUGUACAAUUCUUCAAUAAAUCUAUAAAUAUAUAUAAUAAUAAAUAUAUUGUGUGUUAUAUCGAAAAUAUUUGUACUUUUCAUUCAAUCUUUAAUGCUUCCGAAGCGACAAAUUUUUCGUAAAGUAAAACGGCGCAUACUGAUUUUUCCAAAGUAGUUCGAAUUGAAUUAACUAGGGCCAUGCUUUGACCGCCAGGCCAAAGGGAGGAGUUUCAACAGAGCCUAGACUAAGGUGCCAGCGCAAUCGAGUGCUUUUUUAACUUGAUAUCGUUACUUAUACGAAUGAUUAUGCAAUCAAGGUGUCGGGUCCAAUCGUUAACAGAGUCCUAUAUCACGAGACAAGUAUAAAGCAUCUCGACCGGGCCGAAAUAAAUCAAGUUCCAAAUGUCAGGUAGUACAGUUAUAUGGAGACUACACGAAAACGUGGACCUGCAUAGCCAAUUACCAGAGAAGGCGGUAGGCGGUACAAACACCAAUUUUUAUAAUUCCCUUGAAAAAUGUGGCUAAAAUCUAUAUGGGAAAUAUCCGAAGGCAAUUUUCUGACAUAGGAAGUGGUACCCAUUACGUAUUUCAAAUAACAAAUAUGGAACGAUUCCAUCGCAAAAAAUAUAUAUAUGGAGCAAUACAAAAAUGUGGGUUUAUGUAAAUAAUUUUCUAUCAGAGAAAUUAGUACCUAUUAUUUUCACUAAAUACCAACUUUGAAACAAUUACGUUGGACAAUGCCUCAAAACCAACAUAUAAAGGGUGACACCGUUAUAUAGGGGUUACACGAAGACGUUACGUGGGUAUCCAAAGUCAUUUUUCUGUCAAAGGAGAUAGUACCCAUUACAAACUCCAAAUGCUAAAUUUUACAUCACUCCGUUAGAAAACUUGCAACACAAAUAAUCAAAAUAUCUGAAGGUACAGUAAUAUGGGGUAUAUACCAAAACAUGUACAGUUUUCGAUAAGGAUAUUUCCUACAUACUAGUAACACAAACUGCCAAUUUACCGCAAAUUUGUUUUAAAUUGUUAAAAUUGACCAAAAAUACCUUAAAUCCUUAAAUCUUAAAAAAACAAAAAUACCUUACCUCUAAAUCGGGCAUGGCAAAAUCUAUUUAUGUAUGUCCGUCCACUCAUGUAUUACUAUAAGCAAAUAAUUAUAAGCUUUGCAUAGUUCAUUUGUUUGGAAUUAAGACGAAUCCUAUUGAAGUAAGUGGUAAUCUUCGCUCCAAAAUCAAGUGAGCCAUAGACACGUUUAAACUCUUUAAAUAACUCUGACCAGACGUAAGUAUUCUCGCCAUGCUUCAAUAUACUGCGGCAGCAAUAGUUCCGAUUCAGGGGUACACCGCAAGGCGUUGUUCUAUUACCAUUAUUAUGGUUAAUGGUCAUUAACAGUAUACUCGUAGAUUGGGAACAAAAUGGGACAAUAGUCAUUACCUAUGCUGACGAUGUUGCCUAUGCUUACGAUCGCAGGAAAAAUCCUACAAACAAUUUCAGAUGUAAUAGAGAGGGCUCACUUUAAAUUUAAAUCCAUCAAGAACAGAGCUCGUCCUCUUCAGUAGGAAACGUAAAUAUUCUGUUUUCAUACCACAAAUGCAAGAUGGAGUCACGUUAACCCCAUUCUCAGAAGCCAAAUAUCUCGGUACUAUUGUCGAUCACCAUUUAAACUAUAAGAGAAAUACUGAGAAACGUGCAAAGAGAGCGCUUUACUGCACUUUAUACUCGUACCCUCCUAUAGGCAAAAGUUCGUGCCUCAAACCACUUAUAAUAAAAUGAAUAUAUGAGUCAAUUGUUCGCCCUAUUCUAGCCUAUGGAGCUCGAUUCUAGUGGCACUCUUUAUGCAAGUCAUCUUAUAGACGAGGCAUUGACGAAGUUCAAAGAGCUGUAUCGCUGCUGAAAACAGGUGCAUUCAGGAGCACACCUUAAACCUCACUGGACACCCUAUUUUGCCUAAGCCCAUUAAGCCUUUACGUUGAGGAACAGACAAUCAGGUGUGCCUUUCGGUGGAGUCAAUCCUUUGGACACUCUGCUAUCCUAUGUAAGAGAAGUCAAUACAUGUGAGGGAGGUCUGGACCCGUAACAGUCCACCUUUCUGCGGUAUAGAUACUGACCGUUCUAUGAUGGAAUGUGGACAGGUGAAUUCUACAAAUUAAAAAACGAAUGUAGUGUAUUCCGAAAAUCUUUCGACCAAAACAGCCAUAGAUGAGUUGGCAAGACGGGGUCCAAAUCAAGUAUCACUGAAGAUAUUCCAACAAAAAUGGCCAGAUAAAGGGAAUGUAAUGUAACUAUGUAAUGUAUGUCGAAACCGACGUAAAACUUGUGGUUGUCACAGGUCACUGCAAUGCGAAUUCAAUGACUUCUUGAUGGAGUAGCGACGAUAUCAAUUACUGUAGAAUCUGCCAACAUGAUGAAGAAAUUGAGACAGUCCAGCAUUUGCUCUGCCAAUUUCCAACUCUCAUUAAUAUGAGACCCAGUCUCAUGUAACAAUUAUCCCACGAUCUGUCUUCAUAUUUCAAAACAAAGCCUGCAGUAAUUCUGGAAUUGGCUAAAAGAUUUCAGUGUCUAAAGUCGACACGGCAGAAUUUUUAGCUCUUUUUAUUCUAUUAUUACUUUUUCCAAUCUCUUCUCAUUUCCCCGUUAUAGAAUGAACACAAUUAACAAGUAGGUUCCGAGUGGAGCGGUUACCCUAAGGCGAUUUAGUACGCCAAUAAGAACGUAUAUUUGUUACGGACAGCUCUGUUAAUUAUGCUGGGGUAUUAUAUAGCCGGUCUGCCCGACUAUUGUAUUUUCCUUAUUGGUUUUAAAAAUAUAUUAUCUAUUUUUUAGGUAUUAAAUUGUAUACAGAAAUAAAGAUCACUCGCUUGCGACAUGCACUUUAUAGAAAAAAUAUACUAGUAAUAUCAAAGAACUGAUCUGAUUAAGUAUGUCCUUUCUUUAGAUUAUAUCACGGUAGUUUUGUUACUCAAGUUUACAAUGCAAAGCUUUAUGACAUUUUUUUUUCAAAGUAAAACUCUUACAUUUUUUAGUUUCCUUAAUGGAAGUGGUUCACGUGGAUUUUUUUAAAUUGAAAAAUUGCCAAAGUUCGUUUCAGAGCUGUGGAGUCGACUCAGUUUUGAUUGGACUCCGACCCCAAAGUCAUAUUUUAGCUACAGCAACGCCACGAAAAACUUCUUUUCCCAACAUUUUAUUUUGAACUUAGUUCUUAAAUCAACCUUAUCCAAGACUAAACGAACAAGUUUAUGUCAGAUCUAAAAAUAUAUUCAUAUUUUAUUGAUCCAUUCAGUAAAAAAGAAGAAAAAUAUAUUAUAAAAAUUUAUAAUAGAAUAUAGUAAAAACACAUCUUUCCCUAGAAGUCACGUGGAAGGAUUGUAUCUACAGAAUAACUAUGGAAGGACCUUUAUGUACAUGUUAGGUUCUUACAGAGGUAGCCGAUUUAAUAAAAGGUGGUAUUAAAAACAUAAUCAAUUCAUUUAAGUUAUGGUUUCGUUUUUUUAUGAAGGAAUAAACAAUAAUUUGUGUGUAAAAAAUAGAACAUUGUUGGCCAACGUUUCGUCACUUUUUUGGUGACUUUUUCAGGGGAUUUCGGGAUUCAUAGAUUUUACUUUAAAAUAACAUAAAAGACAAUAAACAACGAGUUAAAAUCUAGUAUAACAGAUAUGUUUACGUUAUUGCCACUGCAUAGCUUGCACUCGCAUAUUUUUUGUUACAAAAUUGUCGGACUUAAUCCCGUCAAUGUAUAUUUUUUGAUGGAGAAAAAUGGCAAUGUUGAGUCCAAAAUAUUUUUAUUUUCCCUAAUUACAUUGUCAAUUUUGUAACAAUUAACUACUUUUGUUAUUGUUUAUUUAAUUAACAGUAGGACUAUUCUGUAACCUUUAUCGAUUGAAAAGUUGUUAAAAUUUCUUUGGUUAUUGUAAGAAAACAAAUCAAGCCGUUUUUUUUUUUUGUAAAAUAAACAAUGAGUGAAGUGUGUAUUAAGUUGUAGAAUAUUCCUACAGGUUUUGUAGUUUGCUGCAACGAUACUGCUCUUCUGUAAAAAUGUAGAUAAAUUGUCGUUAAACUUAAAAAGCUUUAAAGUUAAAAAAAUGUCUAAAACAAAUCACACACAAAACCGAUAUUUAAAAUAGUUGUCAAUAAAUAAACUAUCUGUAUUAGUAUUAUUUUCAUAAGAACGACAAGGACAAAUGAGGUUAAAACUGUUAUAGAAGAUAGCAUUGUUGGUAAUAUUUUUUUAAUAGAAUAACAAUAUCGAUUGUAACAUUUAGAGAAUAGGUCUACUAUUUUGAACAAUUAGAUUUUUCAUUUCAUUUAUUUAUUUAUAUGUUGCAGUGUUCUAAUUUAUAUUAGUUUUUCAUUCCGAUUGCUGAUCUAUUUGAUAUUACUACAUUAAAAAUUAUUUGUACGUCGAUUCAGUAACUUUUAAAGAUCCGACAACCCCACAAGUUUCUCUACACUGUUGAUUGUUUAUGAUCCUCAUCGCCAACUUAUUACGUUCUUA